Molecule: long non-coding RNA, 582 nt
Filed under: Vulpes vulpes (red fox)
Lineage: Eukaryota; Metazoa; Chordata; Mammalia; Carnivora; Canidae
Description: lncRNA (ENSVVUG00000004904.1)
Source: RNAcentral
AUGCAAAUCAUGGAUGAAAUUUAUAAGAUCGCUUCCACAGAAAGGAUCCAGCAGUUAGAAAAAGAACUGGCUAUGCGCCUGACUGACCUGAAGUCUGAGAUAGAAGAAUGGGAGACUCCUCGAGCUUACAGCUCUGUUCAAAUACCAAAAGACAUUUCUUACUUUAGAAGAGAAAGGGAACUGGCUCUAAAGAAAACCUUACAGGUGGCGGAGUCAAAGCCCCUUGUUGUUCAAGCAGAUGUCAUGCAGAGGGAGCUAGAGAGCUGUCUAAGAAGAGAGUACACCCCUGAAAAUUUACCUUUGCUUCUAUUGCAGUAUUAUACAGAGAGAAUUACCCAGCUGGCCCAGAGUAAAUAUUUACACAUGCUUAGAUGGAAGAGGUUUUGCCAGCACAGUAAGAUUAUGGAGCAACUUUAUCCUUUUUACAAGGUAAGAAACCUAGAAAUAGAAUCUGAUUCUAGGUUUGUGGGCUCUUUUUUAUAGUGAAACAAAAUGGUCAAUACAUUUGUCAGUGCAUAUUAUUAAAUAUAGUCAUUAUACCUGUACAUUAGAUCUCUAGACUUAUUCAACCUUCAUAACUGC